Molecule: ribosomal RNA, 250 nt
Filed under: uncultured prokaryote
Description: partial 16S rRNA
Rfam family: Bacterial small subunit ribosomal RNA
Source: RNAcentral
ACAGAGGUGUCGAGCGUUGUUCGGAUUUACUGGGCGUAAAGGGAGCGAGGGCGGUUCGGGGGGUGGGAGGGGAAAUUUCCGGCUUAAACUGGAAACUGGAUUUGAAACUACGGUUCUUGAGGUCAUGGGAGGAUGGCUGAAUUCUUUGUGUAGCGGUGAAAUGCGUAGAUAUCGAGAGGAACACCGUUGGCGAAGGCGGCCAUCUGGACUGAUACUGACGCUAAGGCACGAAGGCCGGGGGAGCAAACAG